Molecule: ribosomal RNA, 113 nt
Filed under: uncultured eukaryote
Lineage: Eukaryota
Description: partial small subunit ribosomal RNA
Source: RNAcentral
UCGCUACGACCGAUUGUUCCAGUUAAUGAGCGAUAUGGAUGAGUCCCGUGAUCGGCUUGUCCGUGAUCGUUGGGCUGAGAAGUUGGACAAAUUAUCUGGGGUAGAGGACGUAA